Molecule: ribosomal RNA, 120 nt
Filed under: Triticum aestivum (bread wheat)
Lineage: Eukaryota; Viridiplantae; Streptophyta; Magnoliopsida; Poales; Poaceae
Description: partial small subunit ribosomal RNA
Source: RNAcentral
CUGGUGUUCUUGGGGGCGACGACGUACGACGUGCACCGCUCCAUCAAGAACAACGACCAGCCCCCGACCAGGGAGCAGGUGGCGGCGCUCCAGGACUUCAUCGACUCCAGAAAGCGCUAA